AAAUGCCUUGGACCAGCUGUGACUGAACAGCACACAGGCUGUUGCUUGUUCCUGAUGUUCAGGGCACUUUCCAGCUGGAAGAAAGUUACAGCUAAAGAGACACAGAAGAGAGAGGGAAGAGAUUUGAGGCAGCAGGUAUUUAGUGGCUGACCCACAACUCAAGCACCGUGGGGCCAAGCUUCCCAAGACCAUCUUCUUCGCAGCCGCUCUGUGUGGUGACAUCUUGGCAUCGUACAUGGAGAAGCGGUUUACAAGAGCCCCUAGGACUGACCAGAGAUCUCCACCAUGCCCCAGUCAUCCUCCUGUCACACUGCUGAUUCAACCAAUGCCCUCCCAAUCCUGCCCAUAGAGCAACUACAGGGGACAUGUGAUGCCACGUGCCUUACCCCAAGAAAUGUUCUACCAGAGCACUGCCACCUGGAUGUGUCUACCAGGGACUACCCAGAGACAAAUGGAAAGUGAAGAGCAAAUUGCCUGUGCCUUCGGGCACGCA
RNAcentral lists this long non-coding RNA (493 nucleotides) under Calidris pugnax (ruff). RNAcentral's name for it is "lncRNA (ENSCPUG00000019597.1)". Lineage: Eukaryota; Metazoa; Chordata; Aves; Charadriiformes; Scolopacidae. The record is from RNAcentral.